UUAUAAAAGAUUAGUGUGUGUUGCAUGCCUACAAAUUACCUCUGCUACCGGUGAGUUUAGCCAGUCGAGCCUGUGCUUAUGUGUUCAUGAUCACAUAGAUCUAUAAAUUCGUUCUAUUUUGUUUUUAAACUCACCGCGGGAAUUCCUUGGUUCCUUUUUACUUUACACUUUCUCGAACAUAAAAAUAUCCAAACAUAUUUGAAUUUGUCAAUCGACAUCAUCACCAAUAUAUGAACUGACACAUUAAUAUUAUAACUAGUUAUAAUGAAAAUGAUUGUGUCAAUUUUGACAGUUAUUUGUGUAUUUAGUGUUGUUAGUGGACAAAAUAAUAAAUAUUACAGCAAUUCAGACACCAUCUUCUUCCCAGACUCAGUGAAUCCUUUGCAAAGUCCAAGAAUAACAGCAGUUUCAAAAAGCAGAAGUUUAGAUGAAAUUGAUAACUCAGUACAGAAAUCAUUGUUACUAGCUAAGGAAAUGAAUAAAUUGGAUUCCCUUGAAGAUUUUCUUGGUUUGGUAUCUGGAAUUCCGGAAUCUGAAGAAAUGUUUUUCGUCAAUCGAAUGGGAGGUGAGAGAUCAUCAGCUAUCAAACCAAAACCAGCAAAAUGCAUGGUAGAACUUCAAUCUGUUUCAUUAGUCCCAGAGAAUCAUGAUCCUUCUACUGUUUACAUACCAUCAUGUACACGCAUCAAGAGAUGUGGUGGAUGUUGUAAUCAUUCAUUACUAUCUUGCCAACCUGUUCGUAAUACAACGGAGACACGUAAUUUUGAGGUUCUUAUAUCGAAAAUUGAUAUAAGUGGAAAAUUAAAGUAUGCUGGGAAAAAAGUAAUACCAUUGGACGAACACACACAAUGUGAAUGUAGCUGCAAAAUUAAGCCUGAGCAUUGCUCAAGAGGUCAUACUUACAGUGAAUCAGAAUGUCAGUGUAUCUGUAAAAAUACUGAUGAAGAAGAGAAAUGUAAGAAUCAUAGUAUGAAGCUUUGGGAUCCUGAAACAUGUUCAUGCGCUUGCAGAUAUCAAUCUGAAUGUAGCAGUGGACUUUUUUUCAAUUUAAACACGUGCAGGUGUGAAUCCGUACAAUAGAAAUCUCCAUAAGUCGUCAUUGGGUUUUCCACAAGUCUUUUUGGUGGCUGGUGUUUCACUACUUUGUGAUUUCGUGUGAAAGACGAGGAUUUUCCGUUCAAGAAUGGUAUGAAAAUGAUAGAAGGGUUGACUACUCACUGAGACGAACAAAUCAAAGAGAACAUCCAAUUAUAAUAACUCUUGAUGCGUCGGAUCCAAGGAGAAAACAUAAAGAUG
Chelonus insularis is the source of this 1296-nucleotide RNA transcript. It is a transcript of the gene named vascular endothelial growth factor A-A-like, with no coding region annotated. The transcript has 6 exons. Lineage: Eukaryota; Metazoa; Arthropoda; Insecta; Hymenoptera; Braconidae. The record is from RefSeq and is a predicted model, not a curated record.